CGUGAACAUCGAAUUGCCUUUGUUUCCCACCUUCCGGUCGUUCAAGUGAUCAAUUUUUGACCAGCCUCGUCCGGUGUCGUUAAACGCCCUAUCGGCAGAUUCAAACCCCACAAGAAAUCGUGGAUUUACCUACUGGCCUGCGUUGGUUAUGUUACUCAGAGUCGGCAAGUAUUAAAAAAAAGCAUCGGAAGAAAUCCGAGAAAUACGAGUUAAAAAGUGGUUGCUCGUUGAAAAUCUGCCGGUCUAAAACGGAAGUAUGAUACACGAGCGUGCUCCUCGUGUAUACGAUUGAAGAAAUGACACAUAACUUCCAACCGCCGCGUACAAUUAAAUGGCGGGCUUCUCGAACGAAGCCGUCGCCUCGCGACAUUCUAAAAAAUCGCUUAAAUAGAGAUCGCUUAGGAUCAUCAAUGGUAUUUGUAAGUUCUUUGAAAAAUGAAUUUAUCGAUCGACACUUAUACUUUUUGAAUUGGAGACGUCGGCUGCUAUAUAUCCAAAUCAAUAUGAACGUAAGAUAUUGAUAUGGGUGUACAAAUUACUUUGUACUGAAACCGUGGUAUUGGCUGAUUGCUUAUUUUCUUCUCAUUUUUUCUACUUUUUUUUUCUAUUUUUUUUAAAAAUAUUUUUUUCUGUUUUAACACUCGCCGUCUAUCUUGUGACAAAUUUUCAAGAGCGAAAAAUUAGCAUUUGAGGAGAGUAAAACAUUAAUGAUUCUUUUCUUCUUUUUUUUUCUACGAAUAAAUUAAUUUCUCUUAGAAAAAUGAUAUGUUACAAGAUGGUACGGCGAGUUAGCGGGGUGGACACGAAUGCUGUAUUUAAGCUCAGCGUAUUUAUAAUACUUCUACUCAAUAGAAACUUGGUAGCUCACUUUUAACAAUAGUGCAUGUUGCUUCGACUUGGGCUACAAGUUUCUUAAUGUAAAAAAAUUAAUUACAGAAAAGUAAGAAUGCUAAUUGAUCUAUUUUUUAUGUACUUUACGCGAGUUACAUGAUCGAAUGUCUAUUUUCUUUUUUUGAGAUCAUGAUACAAAGUAAAUCAGGAUUAAACCAGUUUUAUUAACAGAUGAAACUUGUGGUCGAUUUUGCACGUACGUGUAGUUAAUAUAUAAUGAUAAAUAUAUUUCUUCCUUCAAAAAAACAGUAGCAUAUUGUUUAUUUCCGUUUAAUUGGAAAAGAAAACAUAAAGUAUAGCGUAUAUACGUAUACAUACGUACACUUACGUACAAGAUACUCGUUGAGCAAUUUUUUAACUCGUUCCAAAGUCAAUAUUAAUAUUGCAAUUAAAGUGUUGCAAAUGAUAAAAGAAGAAAAUGAACAUAGAACAUGGUUCAUCGAUUCGAAGAAAAUAGAAUGAAAAGCGAUGAAACGUGUUUUACAAAAUUUCGUCUCUGAUUUAUUCAAACUGUAUGACGUAGGGAGAGAAAUUUUGAAAGAAAUUACGUUCGUCCGCAUAUUUAAUCGAUUUUAAUGUGCAAGUAUAUACAUGUAUACGUAGCUUUGAUCAUUUUUCACGUAUUUGUAUUUUAGUUUGCAUGCUUGGAAUGUGUUUGCUAGAGAAACACAGGGACGUGCGAGUUUCUUUAUCGUGAUUAAUAAUUUAUCAGUGUUAUCUUUUUCAUCGAGCAACGACCGAGAGAAGUCGGUUGAAAAAUGACGGAUUUAAGAUUUAUUUAAAAAAGUAGCUCGCACGUCAUGUUUAAAAUAACUGCAUGUUUAUGAUAUGUUGUUAUUAUAGAUUUUUCCAUAAUUCUAUCUUUUUUACGUUUGUUCGACGCUCGUUGCCUUCUCAAAUUGUCAAAUCAUUCGAUCUUUCUCUCAACAAUUGUAUUAUUUACAUUUAAAUUAAUCAUUACAGAUUGACUUUGAAUCUUGACGUUGAGAAGGAAUCGAGCGAAUUGUUUUAGUCGUUUUUUGAUCGUCGUGCAGCUGAACAAUCUCGUGUAAAGGUCUUAGACUCGAUACAGAGACGUUCCUAUAUAUUCCUGUCGUGAACGAACCAUCGAAUUCAUUAACAUCAUGAAAUUGAAAGAUUUCAAGAAUCGUUGGAAAAAUUGGUUCGAUUGAAUCACUAUUUGAUACCUUCAAACGAUACAAGGAAAAAGACGAAAAUGGUCAUAGGAAUCUCUCGAGCAUUUUUGAACUGCAUGUGCAUGUUUGGCAGAGUAUAUCAUGUAUACUGUUAAUAGUGAGCUUAAAAUAUGAGAUACAAAGUAUUCAAUGAUAUUAAUCGAGAGGUAUCAAGAAUACAAAAGUGUCUCUACUUUCUGAAACCCAGCGGCCUGGAUAUGUUCGAGGAACGACAAUCAUUAAACAGGGAAAUGUGAUUUUUGGUUUAAAUAUUUUAAUAUAUCAAUGGGAAUUUAGUCAAUUAAUUAUGGAUCAAUUUUAAUCAUUUGAAUUUUUUCUAAUAGAGUAGAAUAAAAUGAUUGCUAUUAAAGUAAAAUGAGAAAACAGAAAGCAUCGCGAAGCGCCGACUUCUGCUUUAGAAAGAUAAUAUUUUCUUUUACUGGAGAUACACCUGUGAAAUAUUUUAAUGUUUUUAGAGUACUUGUUCAUUAAUUUUCAUUUAUAAAAGAAGCUCGAUAUUGGGUACGCAGUGACUUAUCUUUAAUGGAAACAUUUGGUGGUAGUCUUUAAGCAUAAAGAAGCUUUUCAUAUUUGGAAUAUCAGAUUGUCGAUCACAUCCCUUGGUCGCUGGGUUGCUCGAGGUACGAAGACUGUUCCACCGAAGCAUUGUCGAUGAAUGAAAAUCGUCUAGCAAUCCUAGAUGGGCCGCAAAACAAUGAAAAGAAAGAAACAAGAACAGGGGCGUGAUUAGCCCAGUUUCUUGCGCGAGAAAAAAAAAAAGAUCAUUCAGCAAAUUAGGUCGAACAUGCUCAUUGGGACAAAAUUAGGUUUCGAAGAUAAGACAAAAGAGAGAAAGAUGAGAGGAAUGCGUGCGUGUACGAGAGAAAGGAAGGGAGGAAAAAAAAAAAGAAAAAGAGUCGAAGGAAAAAAAAAAGAGGGAGGCAGAGACAGAGAGUCGGGGGAAAAAAGAAAGAAAAUUAGGAGAAAGAACGUAAUGAGAGAAAGAAGCAGAGAAUACAUUGUUGAAAAACUUACCCAGUAAACUCGUACUAGCAUAUAAAUAUUAUUGAUCAAUUGUUAUUGGAUUCGAUGAUUGUUUGCACCGUGGCACUGACACAUGAAUUUAUUAUUCCAUUGAAUACUGAUCCGAUCAAUGAGGAUCCACGAGCCUCGACAUUCAACACCGUUUCCAGCAAACCGGAAACGGUAUCAUCCUACACUUCUGUACGAGAUGAUAAAGAGUAAUAUAACGUAAUUCGAGAAGAGUGCUCGUUUCCACGCGUUGGACCAGUAUUCAAUUAUCAUGGACAAUUUGGUGUGGGCUGACGUCUAUGUUAGAGUACAACAUGUCCAUCCACUGUCGCUGAGCUUGAGCUAUUUAUCAUACGCGAGGCUAAAUCUAUUUUAACGUUAAAUUCACUGAAUUGGCUAGACAACUUAUUGAACUAUGUGUAUAAUAAAAAAAAAAAAAAAAAAAAAGAAGAAAGAAAGAAUGAAACACACAGCUUGCUUCAUCCUUCCUUGCAGUUGGUUAGCGUGAAUGCAAUUUGCGUAUAUUAAAUAGCAAUGGCACAGGGCGCAAUUUAGUCUCUACUUAAAAAAAAAAAAAAAGAAAAAAAAAGGAAAUUGGGCGUUCUCGCGAUUGCUAGCGAAGGAAUGAGCAAUUUAAUCAUAUUAUACGACAAAGUUUGCUCGUGGCAAGUGUAUUAUUAAGCGAGCAGCGCCCAAUUAAUAAUAUAUAUAUAUUACGCAAUUACAAAGAACUUUUAAUCAUGUUUGACCUUUAUUUAUGGAUAUUUGCAGAAAUUUGUGGUUUGCUGAAUCUUGUCACAACUUUUUUUGAAUGUGUGGAACUUGUUAUAUGUAUACAUAUAUACACGUAUGUAUACACAUAUAUUGUACCAUGAACGUGUAUACGUACAUAUGUAUAUGUAUACUUCUCUUUUUUUUUCAUCGUACCACUGUACUCAUUGUAUAAAUUACACAUUCACCGCCCGAUACGAUUGAAUAAUUUCUCUUCGGUUAAUCGAAACGAAAAAUCGUAAUUGAAUUGGAACAUUAAGUCUUACUUAAUCGAAUUUUAAUUAACUGGGCUUGUUUUUUUUUUUUUUAA
Long non-coding RNA from Osmia lignaria (orchard mason bee), 4179 nucleotides. RefSeq lists it as uncharacterized. NCBI's taxonomy places the organism in Eukaryota, Metazoa, Arthropoda, Insecta, Hymenoptera, Megachilidae. The record is from RefSeq and is a predicted model, not a curated record.